GUGCCAGCAGCCGCGGUAAUACCAGCUCCCCGAGUGGUCAGGACGAUUAUUGGGCCUAAAGCAUCCGUAGCCUGCUCAGUAGGUCUCAUGUUAAAUCCACCGGCUCAACCGUUGGUCUGCAUGGGAUACCGCUGGGCUAGGAGGCGGGAGAGGCGGACGGUAUUCCUUGGGUAGGGGUAAAAUCCUUUGAUCCAGGGAGGACCACCAGUGGCGAAGGCGGUCCGCCAGAACGCGCUCGACGGUGAGGGAUGAAAGCUGGGGGAGCGAACCGGAUUAGAAACCCUCGUAGUCC
RNAcentral lists this ribosomal RNA (292 nucleotides) under uncultured bacterium. Its description in RNAcentral is "partial 16S ribosomal RNA". It matches the Rfam family "Archaeal small subunit ribosomal RNA", at positions 455 to 747 of the family's 1478-position model. The record is from RNAcentral.